Arachis duranensis is the source of this 109-nucleotide small nucleolar RNA. NCBI's taxonomy places the organism in Eukaryota, Viridiplantae, Streptophyta, Magnoliopsida, Fabales, Fabaceae. The record is from RefSeq and is a predicted model, not a curated record.
AGACCAUGCCAGGAGGGCACCUCCUGCUCAGUUGCUUGUAUCUUUCCCAAGCUUCAUAGAGGGAUUCACCUUCUUUUUGUCUCACAGUUUAAACUUUUACUCUGAUUUU